AGCAAAAGUGGCGCAGUGGACGGUUGCUGGGCCCAUAACCCAGAGGUCAAUGGAUCGAAACCAUUUCAUGCUA
RNAcentral lists this transfer RNA (73 nucleotides) under Paramuricea clavata. Its description in RNAcentral is "tRNA-Met". The record is from RNAcentral. Lineage: Eukaryota; Metazoa; Cnidaria; Anthozoa; Malacalcyonacea; Plexauridae.